Molecule: long non-coding RNA, 926 nt
Filed under: Helianthus annuus (common sunflower)
Lineage: Eukaryota; Viridiplantae; Streptophyta; Magnoliopsida; Asterales; Asteraceae
Source: RNAcentral
UGUUAGGUUUAUUUGUAGUCUUUGCACACAACCUGCCUGAUGAAAUGCUACAUAGAGAUAGAGCAAAGCAAGAUGUCUUGACACUGAUUAUAUGUUUUUAUUUUUGUAUAAAGUUUUGAUCUUGUGAUGUGCAGAAGCCCAAGAUGGAAGGACUUGGAGGCAUUGGUUUAAUAUGUGAAAACUUUGAGGGAUCUCCCACGAACUUUCCCGGGUCAUCCAUGGUUGGACACUCCGGAAGGUCAUGCUUCGCUGAGACGUGUUCAGAUGCAAUUUUUACAUCUUAAGCUGUAGUUAUGAUUUAUUAGUUAUGAUCAUUUACAUCUUUGUAGAUCCUCAUGGAACCAAAGAAUGCUCUUGGUAAGCAAUUUAAGAAGCUGUAGUUACAUCUUUAUGAUAAUCCAGAACUUAACGCUAAAAUGAGAGGUAUUUUGAUAGAUUGGUUGAUUGAAGUUCACUGGAACUUCAACAUGAUGCCGGAGAGUCUUUACCUCACUAUCAACAUUGUCGACCGAUAUCUCUCUAUGCGAAAAGUUGCCUGAAGAGAAUUUCAGUUGGUUGGUAUGAGUGCAAUGCUCAUUGCUUGCAAAUAUGAAGAAAUUUGGCCGCCAGAAGUCAACGAUUUGAUCGCAAUUUCAGACAAUGCGUACUCGGGAGAACAUAUUCUUGUUAUGGAGAAAGCGAUUCUUAGUCAACUUGGUUGGUAUUUGACCGUACCUAUACCAUAUGUGUUUCUUGUUCGGUAUACAAAAGCUUCAAUUCCUUCGGAUGAUGAGGUAAUCAUGUAACUUGGAGCACUAAUGUAUUGAAACAAGCCAAUGACAAAACUGAGGAAGACGGAAAAUGGGAAGAACUCAUGAUACUUGCAACAAACCCAUGAAGACAAUGAUUUAUAAGUAUUAUGUUAUCUUGUUUUUUUUUUUUUUUUU